GGACAAUAGGGCCCUAAUUUAGAUGACAGGGCCUGGCAGAUAGGGCCACAGAUCUUAUAAAAUGUUUUUAUUUAUUUAUUUUUUGAGAUGGAGUCUCGCUCUGUCUCCCAGGCUGGAGAGCAGGGGCCUGAUCUCGGCUCACUGCAAGCUCCGCCUCCCAGGUUCAUGCCAUUCUCCUGCCUCAGCCUCCGGAGUAGCUGGGACUACAGGCGCCCGCCAACACGCCUGGCUAAUUUUUUGUAUUUUUAGUAGAGACGGGGUUUCACCGUGUUAGCCAGGAUGGUCUCAAUCUCUUGACCUCAUGAUUGGCCUGCCUUGGCCUCCCAAAGUGCUGGGAUUACAGGUGUGAGCCACCGCGCCUGGCCUUUUUAUUAGUAUUAUUAUUUUGAGACAAGUUCUCACUCUGUUGUUCAGGCUGCAGUGCAGUGGCAUGAUCACAGCUCACUGCAGCUUGGAACUCCUGGGUUUAAGUGAUCCCCCUGCCUCAGCCUCCUGUGUAACUGGGAUUACAGGAGUGUACCACCAUGCCCAGCUAAUUUUUUUUUUUUUUAAUAGGGACAAGAGCUUGCCGUGUUGCCCCAGGCUGGUCUCAAACUCCUAGCCUCAAGCAAACUUCCUGUCUCGGCCUUUCAAAACCCUGAGAUUACAAGCAUAAGAAAAGAAAAUCUUGUAAGAUGAAAGCUGAAGGAUGAGAGCAAUUAAUUGAUGAAGUAUGAUGAUCCAGGUGUCCCUGGGUGAAGAAACAACCUCUACAAAGGCCCUGAGGGUCUCGCUCAUCACCAGGCUGGAGUACAGUGACAUGAUCAUGGCUCACUGCAGCCUCAACCUCCCGGGUUCAGGCUAUCCUCCCACCUCAGCCUCCCAGGACCACAGGCGUGUGCCACCAUGCCCAGCUAAUUUUUUGUAGAGAUGGGGUUAUGCCAUGUUGCCCAGGCUGGUCUCGAGCUGCUGGGCACAAGCAAUCUACCCAUCUCAGUCUCCCAAAGUGCUGGCAUUAUAGUCGUGAGCCACUGUGCCCAGCCAACAGCGUCUUUCAAAGAGCAGAGAGAGGUUAAUUUUGAUGAUGUCCAGUUUGCACCUUUGUUGAAAAUUGACCAUAUAUCUGUGAGUCUGUUUCUAGACUCUUUGUUCUGCUUUAUUAAACUACUUGUCUAUUUGUACACCAAUGCCACA
This 1173-nucleotide long non-coding RNA is filed under the name Homo sapiens (human). Its description in RNAcentral is "HSALNT0276740". Lineage: Eukaryota; Metazoa; Chordata; Mammalia; Primates; Hominidae. The record is from RNAcentral.